AUCCUUUUGUUGUUCAUGAGCAUGACAAUUGGGUGUUUUCAUGCAGCGAGUGAGAUGUGCCACCCUGGAACCUUGUUAACGACGUCGCACGUUACCUGUCUGACC
Molecule: small nucleolar RNA, 105 nt
Filed under: Pan paniscus (pygmy chimpanzee)
Lineage: Eukaryota; Metazoa; Chordata; Mammalia; Primates; Hominidae
Also listed under: 1 other name
Description: Small nucleolar RNA U13
Rfam family: Small nucleolar RNA U13
Source: Rfam by way of RNAcentral